UUGGCGGUUCGCUGCUGGCGACGUCGCGAGAAGUCCACUGAACCUUAUCAUUUAGAGGAAGGAGAAGUCGUAACAAGGUUUCCGUAGGUGAACCUGCGGAAGGAUCAUUGUCGAAACAGGCCCUGCAGAGCAAACAGCGAACAUGUACACUCACUUCGAUGAAUGCCCUCGAGCAUUUGUCAUGCGACUCUGUGGGUUUAUCCCUGCAGAGCAAACAACAACCAACCCCGGCGCGGUGAGCGUCAAGGAAAACAAACACAAGAGAGAUCGUUCUCCAAGCCCUUUGGCGAGGAAGCGAACUCAUUGUGGCCAACAUAUAAAAUGACUCUCGGCAACGGAUAUCUCGGCUCUCGCAUCGAUGAAGAACGUAGCGAAAUGCGAUACUUGGUGUGAAUUGCAGAAUCCCGUGAACCAUCGAGUCUUUGAACGCAAGUUGCGCCCUAUGCCUUCGGGCUGAGGGCACGUCUGCCUGGGUGUCACACAUUGUCGCCCCCUCGAACAAUCGAGAAAGAGGGCGGAAACUGGCCUCCCGUCGACUAUAGUCUCCGGCUGGUCCAAAUGAGAGCCAUUGGCAUUGCGCGUUGCGGCAUCUGGUGGUUGGACACCGUUUGAUGGAGCUGCUGGCGCGCGUUUGCCACAUGAUAAACGGAAGCUCAAGGCCCUUAAACUAUACAGACGCGACCCCAGGUCAGGCGGAGCACCCGCUAGUUUAGCAUAUCAAUAGCGGAGGAAAGAAACUUCCNAGGAUU
RNAcentral lists this ribosomal RNA (749 nucleotides) under Meineckia uzungwaensis. RNAcentral's name for it is "eukaryotic LSU rRNA". The stretch from base 324 to 479 matches the Rfam family "5.8S ribosomal RNA". Lineage: Eukaryota; Viridiplantae; Streptophyta; Magnoliopsida; Malpighiales; Phyllanthaceae. The record is from RNAcentral.